AACUUUCGACAACGGAUCUCUUGGCUCUCGCAUCGAUGAAGAACGCAGCGAAAUGCGAUAAGUAAUGUGAAUUGCAGAAUUCAGUGAAUCAUAGAAUCUUUGAACGCACCUUGCGCUCCUUGGUAUUACGAGGAGCAUGACUGUUUGAGUGUCAUUAAUAUAUAUCAUACUUCUCUUGUUUGAGUUGUUUGGAUGUGGGGGUUUGCUGGCCUCUUAAAAGGGGUUCAGCUCUCCUGAAAUGCAUUAGAAGAACAACCGAGUUCAGUGGUGUGAUAACUAAUCUACACUGUUUAAAGUGAAGGCCAGUUCAGCUGUCUACCGGUCUUUGGACAAUUUUGUCAUUAAUGUGUCCUCAAAUCAGGUAGGACUACCCGCUGACCUUAAGCAUAUCAAUAAGCGGAGGCU
This 405-nucleotide unclassified non-coding RNA is filed under the name uncultured Cortinarius. RNAcentral's name for it is "sequence contains ITS2". The stretch from base 1 to 154 matches the Rfam family "5.8S ribosomal RNA". The record is from RNAcentral. Lineage: Eukaryota; Fungi; Basidiomycota; Agaricomycetes; Agaricales; Cortinariaceae.